GAUGAACGCUGGCGGCGUGCCUAAUACAUGCAAGUCGAGCGAACAGAUGAGGAGCUUGCUCCUCUGACGUUAGCGGCGGACGGGUGAGUAACACGUGGAUAACCUACCUAUAAGACUGGGAUAACUUCGGGAAACCGGAGCUAAUACCGGAUAAUAUAUUGAACCGCAUGGUUCAAUAGUGAAAGACGGUUUUGCUGUCACUUAUAGAUGGAUCCGCGCCGCAUUAGCUAGUUGGUAAGGUAACGGCUUACCAAGGCAACGAUGCGUAGCCGACCUGAGAGGGUGAUCGGCCACACUGGAACUGGGACACGGUCCAGACUCCUACGGGAGGCAGCAGUAGGGAAUCUUCCGCAAUGGGCGAAAGCUUGACGGAGCAACGCCGCGUGAGUGAUGAAGGUCUUCGGAUCGUAAAACUCUGUUAUUAGGGAAGAACAAAUGUGUAAGUAACUAUGCACGUCUUGACGGUACCUAAUCAGAAAGCCACGGCUAACUACGU
Molecule: ribosomal RNA, 496 nt
Filed under: uncultured bacterium
Lineage: Bacteria
Description: partial 16S ribosomal RNA
Rfam family: Bacterial small subunit ribosomal RNA
Source: RNAcentral